This 6004-nucleotide long non-coding RNA is filed under the name Triticum aestivum (bread wheat). RNAcentral describes it as "long non-coding RNA (TAES_LNC027071)". Lineage: Eukaryota; Viridiplantae; Streptophyta; Magnoliopsida; Poales; Poaceae. The record is from RNAcentral.
UGAAAAAUACUUCCAUUCCUUUGCAUCCAAAUAUGCCAGCAUCAAAUAAUGAUUAUUAUUAGACCAAAAUUCCUGGGAAGAGCAUUAGUGUUCAAGAGAAUCUCAUCCAAGACUGAGAUACCCCUAAACUUGUGUAGGCCAAGGGAUGCCCAACAAACAUAAGCAAACAGACAAUCCGAAAAUAGUCUCAUCAGCAUUUAGAGUACAAAUGGCACAAUUCUGAGAAGACAUGUAAAAAACUUUUCUAUGGAGGAGGCAUCUGGUGUUGAUUCUGUCAUGCAAGAGCAGCCAAAAAAAUAUUCUAUAUCUUGGCAUUGCCACACAUCUCCAGAUUUUCAAGAAGGCAGGGAAGCAGCAUUGUCCUGCUAUAAAAACUUGUACAUGUUAAUAGCAGUAAAAUCUUUUGAGUUCCAACUGUAAGUCCAGGUGUCUCUGAUCAGUAAUCGCCACAUUGCUCAACAACAAUUGCAUAUGGUUUAGUUGUUGAAAUGCCUGUAAGGAUAGAGGUGAAUGCGUUGUUCUUGCAAAAUGCACACGGCAAAAUUCAAUGGCCACAAUGCUUCUCUUCUCUAUCCAAUGCUGACAUGUGCUGAGUGUAUACUGCACCUUAUGAGCAUGGCUAAUAGUAAGGUGCUAUGUCAUCUAUAGUCAUUGAUAAAGUAGUGUUAACUAUUAGACUAUUUUCUUAAAGCUCACAGUGCUUUAAGAAAAGUAGCGUGCAUGACCUACUUUAUCAAUUGAGUAAGUUUCAGAAACUAAACCUUAAAGCUCACAGUGCCCUCAUACGGGAUCCAACUACUUUGUUGAUUGCGAUGCAAUAGGGCAGCUGGCACGGCUGGGCUGGUGCGAGCUUCCACAGCUUCGUGCCCGUGCGAAUUUUCGUUUUUGUGAGAAAUAGCUGCCGCUGUGUCAAACCAAAGGAGACAGUCUAGGAUGCCCAGAAGAUAUUUAUGGAUAGAAUAUUACACGUGUCUGGACUCAGUGCAAGAAUUUUCUUCAUUCUUUCAAUAAUUUUCUUCAGUGGAAGCAGGCAUCUUGGUUGGUCCACCACAACACAAUGUAGAGAGGGAGGUCCAACCAACGCAUAUGGAUAAGCACAAGCAAGCGCAAUGAGCCAUGCAUGCAUGUAUGUAGGCUGCGUGAAAGCUCUACUGCUCUUAACCGUGCAUGGGUUCUUAGAAAUAGCCAUUUCUCGGCCAGACGGGCAUUAUCAUUCAUUUUUUUUUCUUGAACCGGGCUUUACCCCCUUCCAUGGCAAGAGAACGGAAAUACAAACCAGUUCAAGUUGUCAGGAGGAGGGAAAGAGGGUAGAGCGAGUUCAAGCACUACCAGGAAACCCACCACAUUCGCUCGCCGUCGAAACGGAUGCCAUGGGGCGAAAACCUGGUAGCACCAACUUUGUCAUGUCUAUUACAAGCCAUAACCAACCGGGGAAAGCCGAGACAACACAAAACAAAUAGCGAACUAACGAUCUAAUCAGCAGAAAUGGGAAAGGGCGCCGCAGAGCUCUUUGACUGAAGACGUCUUUUAUCUUUGACAUGCAUGGAUCUUGGACGCCUAUGCUGAAGCACCCAUGCCCCUCACGAGCUUUGGAUCGGUUGCUUGGCAGCAUCGCACAGCCUCAUCAGUUAUCAUUCAUUGGUUGAUCGAUCUGGAAAACCACACUCCACAUUGGUUGCCGCACUAGCAUGUUUUGGGUACUUCGGUGCUGAUUAAUUGGAUGUAUAGAAUCGACGGGCACCUCACCAGUGGCGUCCAACCGAGGUAGGCCCGAGAAGUGGACGGCGGAUAGACAGCCUCUCUCCCAGCUCUAUAAAUCACGGGCACACCAAGCUUCCCUUCCAAAGCAGAACAAGCGCAGUCAGAGAGCAUAUGAACUCGAUGCACUUCGUUGAGUGAGAUCAUCACCAUGUCGUGCUGUGGAGGCAACUGCGAAUGCAGCAACGACUGCGGAGGGUAAAUUAUCUCCAAUCUCCUCCUAAUCUCUGCGUUCGAUCUCUCUGUCUUUACGCCUUCUUUCUCAACCUUUUCUUUCAUCUCUCCUCGAACGUACGCACGCACGAACGAAUCUGCUUUGGAGAGGGGGAAAAAGGACCUCUUCUCUGAGAUAGGUCACGCACGCUGUCUAUUUGUUUAUCGUUUCCAUGGGGAGAUCUGCAACGCCAAGUCGUUGUGUCGCGGCCCGUCGAUCUCCGUCCGCGUGAUAGCAGUCGGUUUAAAAAGAGGAGAUUAUCCUUAAUUAAUUACACCUAAUUAUCAUAAUUCUUAUAACAAAACUUACGUAUGGCUUGGCUGCCUGUUGCAGCUUUGCUUCUCCCAAGUUUUUUCUAGGCUGUUUCUGGGACGAAAUCAUCACUACCUUUGUCUGAAAAAUUGAACAGGGCUCGAUGUGGGGGGGCGAUUCAUUGACUCAUUGUACGGACAUGAUGACAUCCACGGCCUGGAUUACUGGGCUAAGAAGUGCGCGGAUUAUUUGUCGUCAGACCCACCUGAUGGUACAUCUAUCGAAUUUCCUUCUUCGUCAAUCAUAUUAUGUAAAAGAGAUUAAAAAAACUAAUGCUAAUGAACAUUUGCAAUUUCCAGUGAAGCUUGGCAUAGGUGGCUUUGGCAUGGGAGCGGCCGUUGCAUUAUAUUCUGCCCAAUGCUUUGCCAUGGGUAGAUUCGCUAAUGGGUUACCAUACCCGCCAAUCACCCUUGAUUUUGUGAUUGGGUUUAGCGGCUGGCUUCCCUUCUCAGGGUCUGAAUCCUUAAUAUUCUGGAGGAAAAUAAAUACUAGUGAUUUACUCAUGACAUGUGCGUAGUAGUAUUUGUUAAACUCAUAUACAAACUCGUAUUGUUCAUGACCCUGAAGAGCAGGAUGGAGAGCUCAGGGACGACUGCUCGCAGGAGAGCCGCUCACUUAAAAAUCCUGCUCUUGCAUGGAGACGGUUAGCAUUGCUAUUGUUUUGCUAAAUACUCAUGUUAAGUUCCUUUUUUUAGGGAAUACUCAUGUUAAGUUCCUUGUCAGUGCUAAGAAUGGUUUCUUUAUUUGGUGUUCCUGCAGAUGAUCCUCAAGUACCAUAUGAAACCAGUAUAUGGUACGCUGAGUUUCUGCGAACCUCAGGAUUUUCAGUGGAUUUUAGAACCUUCAACAGGUACUACAGUUGAACAUACACAAUUUCUUCACUGAUCAUUUGCUCUCAUAUUGUUCUUCUAAAAUUUAGUACUAACAUCAUCAUGUCAUUCAUGCAGACUGCAGCAUUUUUGGACGUACCGUGAGAUGGAUUAUGUCAAGCAGUGGCUCCGCCCUAGGAUCGCAGUGCCCAGACGCCAUGGAAGGCUGUAGUUUAGUACUCCCUCUGUAAACAAAUAUAAGAUCGUUUAGAUUACUAAUAUAGUGAUCUAAACAAUCUGAGAGGCUGUAGUUUAGUAAGUACUAAAGAGGAUGGCAGUAUUGUAUGGCAGUAAGUACUAAAGAGGAUGGCAGCAUUGUAUGGCAGUAAGUACUAAAGAGGAUGGCUGUAUUGUAUGGCAGUAAGUACUAAAGAGGAUGGCGGUAUUGUAUGGCAGUAAGUACUAAAGAGGAUGAACAUUUGCAAUUUCCAGUGAAGCUUGGCAUAGGUGGCUUUGGCAUGGGUGCUGCCGUUGCCCUCUACUCGGCACAGUGCUAUGCCUUGGGAAUAUUUUAUAAUUAGUUACCAUACCGAUUACCCUGGGCUUUGUCAUUGAGUGUAGCAGUUGGCUUCCCUUCACAGGGUCUUAAUCCUUAAUUGGAUUUGAAUCCAGUGACAAAAUCUAAGGUAAUUGACGGUUCAAAUAAUCUAAGGUAAUUGGGUAUGAUAACUGAUCCGGCGCAUCUUACCGACGUCAUCAUGUCAAGAGCCCCAUUAUUAAGAGGCACGCCCAACAUCUACUUCAAUCAAACAUACUAAGGUGGAUUCUAUCGUUAAUGCAUGUCUUCUUGGUUCUCCUGAGGAUGGUAUGCUACUUGAUUUUCAUGCCAUUUGCACAUAUAGGUUUGAGUCCAAUGAUGAGUGUGCCAUAGAGGAGGUUAUCCCCAAACGAGUGCCUACACCAUCCGCGAGAGAAGCAUGAAAGCGGAGAAGGAGCUAAAGAUGAAGACAAGGUUCCGCAAGCAUCAACGGGUGUCCAUGAAAAAGGCUACAAGCAAUUAAUGCAGCCUGAAAUGAUCUCCGGCAAUAUGGCGCCAUAGCACAUAGAUUCACCUCUUUCAAGUUCCUAAUUAUAUCCUGCCAGUCUGAACUGUAAUCACGAUAUGCCUUUGUGUUCAUGUUUGGCACCAGGGCCAAGGCUUUGAUGCGAGCGUCGUCUGGGCGAGUGAGCACUGCAAUCUAUUUUUGGGUUGUGUUCAGACUUCAGACACAAGCGGUAGUCAGCUCGGUUUAAGUCGAUAAACUAAGCUUGUGGUUUCUCCUCCAAAUCAUCGAGGAGGAAGUGAUUAAUGAAAGCAAAAGUGGACGCUGGCCUAUAAUAUAUACAACAACAACAACAAAGCCUUUAGUCCCAAGCAAGUUGGGGUAGGCUACGCUGGCCUAUAAUAUAUGACUUCAUGAAUUACCUUUCUUCUCAAAGACCAUGUGACCGAGCAAACAACUCACGUUUUGAUGAAGUCAGGAGUCCAUCAUAUGAGAGCACCACCGUUCGAUGUUCUGGACACCAAAAUCUGGAUAAGUGUUCAAUAUAAGCUCCUCACCGAUCAACAAUAUACCAAAAGAAAAUCAGUCGAUGCAUUGGCACAAAAAAUAUAUGGCAAACAAAUAUGUUACAUUAAACCAAAAGAAAAAGUCUGUUUAGUACAAGAAAAUGAAAAACGUGAAACCAAUAGUCCUAUUUUUAUUUUUUAUUUUUUAUUUUUAACGGGGAUUUAUUUUAUCACUGAUCGUAAGAAAUCAAUAGCUAUUUGCUUCAUACAAAGAAAGAAAAAUUAUACCCACACAGCCCAAAAAAUUGAACACAUGGGGCAACUCAUAGAAAAGCAUAAGGCCUAGGUUCAAGCUGCAAAACUUUACGAAGUAAUGUGGUAUAGAGAAAGCAUGAGGCCCGUGUUCAAGUUGCAAAACAUCAAACAAGAAACAAAGUAAUGCAGUACAGAGAGACAACAGGCGCAGCAAAGCGCAUCUAUGCUUCUAGUAAUGGCUAUAACCUACUACUUCCAAUAAUGCUAGCACUCAGGAUAGCCCACAUCGCCAAUUAGUUUGAUGCAUGCAAAAAAAGCACCCAACGACUACUUUUGAUUCGACACAAGUGAAAUUCCUACAUUCGGCCUGGAAAAGGGUAAAAAGACCAUGAAAUUGAUCUUGAAGCCCACGUUAAGCGUGCGUUGGAGCUGGCCUAUAGAAGUAUAGAGGUUAGCCACAAGAUCAAUUCCAACAUUGUGAUGGUUUUUCCCCCNNNNNNNNNNNNNNNNNNNNNNNNNNNNNNNNNNNNNNNNNNNNNNNNNNNNNNNNNNNNNNNNNNNNNNNNNNNNNNNNNNNNNNNNNNNNNNNNNNNNNNNNNNNNNNNNNNNNNNNNNNNNNNNNNNNNNNNNNNNNNNNNNNNNNNNNNNNNNNNNNNNNNNNNNNNNNNNNNNAUCGAUCAAAUGCUAUUUCUUGAAAUCAGGUAAAACUCUUGUAAUCGUGUGACAGCUUUUUUUUUGUAAUCGAGUAAAAGGCAAGUUACAUGACUCACUACUUUUUUACUCAAUUAAUCAUGAUUCUUAUAAUGGGGCAAAUGCUAUUUCUUGGAAUCGGGUCAAACUCUUGGAAUAGUGUAACAAUUGCUUUUUGUAAUGGGGGGAAAAGGCAAGUUAGAGAGCUCACAACUUUAACCCAAUUCAUCAAUCUUAUAAUCGGGCAAAUGCUAUUUCUUGGAAUUGGGUAAAACCCUUGGAAUCGUGCAACAAUUGCUUUCUGUAAUCGGGUAAAAGGCAAGUUAUUAGAUGGCUCACGGAAUAACAUACACUCCUCGCCUGUUUUGCCCUCUUCCGUCCAGAUUCUCACCCGGGACCCUAUAAAUAUAGUUCCAC